Molecule: long non-coding RNA, 15375 nt
Organism: Apis cerana (Asiatic honeybee)
Lineage: Eukaryota; Metazoa; Arthropoda; Insecta; Hymenoptera; Apidae
Source: RefSeq, a predicted model, not a curated record
GAGGCGAGCGGCCGGGCGAGGGGAGCCGCGGAGAGGGGUCGCGCAUUCCAGAGAGGCGCCGGCCAGUCUGCGGCACACCUGCGCGUUCGGUUGAAUCACGGCGCCUCCGACAUAACCCAAUCUCUUCGUCCUUCUUCAGCUGGCCGCUUCGUCCGAGCCGGCCGUUCGGUCCUCGUCUCUCUCUCUCUCCCACCGUCUCGUCCUUCUGCUCUUUCUCUGUUUCGUCCCACGAAGCGCCUUUCUCCGUCUUUACCGCGCUGAUGUAAGCCGUCUCCGUCCAACGCGAGACCCGUAUUCUCCUCCUCGUCUUACUCCCAGAAUCUCUUUCUUCGUCCACGUUGCUCGCUGCGCCAAAGCGAGCAUCUCUCUCCCACGCGUGGUAAUCACGCGUCUUCUCUCCUCCUCUUCGUUCGAAUCUUGUUGACUCCUCGAGAGUUCCCCGAUUCUGUCCCUCUUCUUCCACCGUCUUCGCUUAGAUUUUCCUAACGAUUUCUAUGCCCCGUUCUCUCUCUCUCUUUCUCUUUCUCUUUCGUGGCCCUCUAGCCACGGAAGAGAACCGAUCAGACCCUGAGAAAGGGACACGAUACGAGAGAGAUCGUGGAACGAAACGCACAGCUGUAAGCGUGACAGAGAGAAUGGAAAAGGAGACUCCGAAGGACCGAUCUUACGUACAAUCGGAGGCGUGCAGGUGUCCGUCGUUCGUCCGACGGUCGGCACGUCUGUCAGUGCCGCAAUCUAAGCCGCGCCGUGUCGGGGCCCGGACUAGCGAAGGCUACGAGCGGACACCUGUUUUUCUUGGAAGCACCUGUUUUGUGUUACGGCCCUGCGGAACCGCCCGGCUGCGGCUCAACAGGCCCAACGCGAACUUCUUUUUUCGCCGGACGGGAGAACGUGACAGGAAUCCGUAUUUUCUUUCCGCAACAUUUCUCCCUGGCUUACGGUAUAAUCGAUAAUGUUUGCAUCGACGCGUGGUCAUCCACCGUAGCUACGGGAUUAGCCUUUCUCUCUCUCUCUCUCUCUCUCUCGGUUGUGGAUAAGGCGCCUCCAUUGUGCAAAAAGCUGUCGUUCAAAUGCGUUUUCGUUGUUCGAAGCAGUGAUGGUAUUAAAUGGAAUAUUUUGCGCGUGCUUUUACUUGUUGUAUAUGCUUGUCAAUUGUUAUUGGUGAUAAGAAAGAGAAACCGCUUUUCUCGUAUGAAAAAUUGAAUAUUCGUGUGUAAAGAAUAUUUCAGGGAAAAAUAUUGUUCCAUAAACAACGAUUUAUCGCGUGGUACUUUUUCAGAAUAUAGCAUUAUGAUUGUAUGAAAAACAAUUAUUCAUUGUGCACCACUGCAAAAUAAAUUUCUAUUAAUGUGAGUUUGUCAUGCGAUACUUAUACUUCUAUACAAGUUACAAUAUUACAAGUUGUAUUCGUUUUAUCAAUUUAUUUCCAAUUGUACGACUGACAAUUAUCUGUUUAUAUGCGAAUAUGAAAUUUGAAAUUGUAAGUAAGAUUUACUGUUGAUGCGAAUAAUUGUGUAGUAAAGUAAGUCAAAGGAAAUGACAGUUUAUGUCUAUUGUAAUAGCAUAUAGUUAUAUUUCCAUUUUUAACAGUUUAAUUUGCGAAAUACAAAAUAAGUAUCUCACGUUUUAUUACGUAUCUAUCAAUUACGAAUAAUUGCAUAAUUUAUUCUUAAUGUGAAAAUUCACAUAGUUUGAAAUCUAAAUGGUAAUAAAUUAAGGAGUAAUACGAUACAUACGUUAAAGUCGCAAACAAUUCCAUAAAAUAUUUUCUCUUUUAAAUCAUAUUUUCUCUACACUUUACAUCGUUCUAUCGUGCUACAUUCUAAUAUCUUUGUAUUUUUGAACUUUAACCUUAAUCAGCAUGAAUACGAACAAACAUUAGUGCACACAAUAAUAGAUUAAUUACAGAAAUAAUAUUUGAAAUUCAUUUUUCUUUUCUUAUAAACGAACAUAUUCAUUCGGUAAUUCCCACGAUUCUCCAAGUUUCAGAAACUUAAACUUUCUCAGAUUAUGAAUAUAUCUAAGUACAUUACAUUAGAUUCAAAUCAAAAUAACAGCAAAUUAAUUAAUCGAAAAAUCAACAAUCGUGUUUAUUCCCGGUUUCGAUGACUUAAUAUACACGAUAAUUCAACAUUCGUUUCAUAGUAGUAAUAGUCUCCAAUAAGGCAAAUUCUUCGACUCUAAUCAAUACAAAAUGAAACAGGCGCCUCAGUAUCAGACUAAUUGCGAUAUUAAGACGCCACCGAUAAACACGUAUCACGUUUCAUAACUCUCGUUACAUCUACCCAGCUUCCCGGAAGCGAAGUAGCACUGUCUCAAUCAUGUAUCGCGAUAUGCAUUACGUAAUGCUAAUCUCGCUACGGCGGGGAGAGCAGCGCGACUUUUUUUUCCUCUCUUUUUUUUCCUCGACUUCUCUCCUUUCGACGAUCAUCUCUUCUCGCACGGUCGAAAUAUCUUUUUUCUUCGUGCGAAGCAGAACUAGAGCAAGCGGACGGGAACAGAGAGGAAACGUGAAAGGAGACUCGCACGGUUUACGCGAAGAACGCGACCGGGCACGAUAAUCCUGCCGGACGUGAGAGACCUGAGACUCAUUCAGUGACGUGGGAACGUGUGCAGAUACCAUUCAUAAGUCGGCCGUAGCGUGUGUGAGACAGGCCCCUAUUGAACGUGUGCCGUGGAAAAAUCGUUUUUCCCGAGAAAUUCGAGAUAAAAAUGUAACGUUGGAGAAAUAAAUAAAAUUGGAAUCUCCUUUUUUAAUCGUUUUUGAUGAUUAUUUAUAACGGAAAUAUAUUUUCUUAGUACUUUUUUUUUUUUAAAGAAGAUGGAACGGAAGUACAAGUAUGACAAUUUCGCGAGAAAAGGAAUAUAUUUGUAUUUAUAUCUAUGAAAUAUUGUUCGAGAAAUUAUGGUAAUAAUUAAAGUAUUAAUAAUUUAUAUUUUCUACAUUUCUAUCGUCAUUUUACGAUUCGUACUCAAUGGUAAUUCGGAUUGACUUUUCCUCCGAAUCCGUUGAUCGUCGCGACUCGAUGGCGACUUAAAGCCAUUGCUCGAUUCGCUCGAGAGAGCCAUCGGGACACCCGCAGCCUUUCCUUCAUGGCUCAAAACGAGUGUCGUGGGAUUCGUGGGAGCCUGUUUUCCGUUCCAGCCUUGUUCCAUCGCGACCACGGACCCCCACGCCGUUGUUUUAUUGUUGGAAGACCGCGAGGGAGAGCUCGAAUUUCUGCUAAGAUUGGAGAACGCGCCUUAGGCGACACCGUUCGUUAGAUCCUCCUCCUCCCCCUCCUCAGGUGUGCUGCAGAGAAACUUAAAACUCGUUCUUCGAAACGAUCGUUCUUUGCUUAUCUCAUUUUAUUCCCCAAUUAUUAUCGAAUUCUUUUUUUCACCUCUUGAUAUCUAUCGAGUGAUAGAUUCCUCGUUGAUCGUUUCGAAUUUCAAAUUGAAAAGUAUAAAUCAGCUUAAUCGUGACUUUUGUCGCGAUAAUGAUAAUUUGAUAAGGAUAUCCAUUCGGUGCAUUGACUCGACGUAAACCCGUCACGAGUUGCUUUGUCAUUUCCUUUCACCAUUUUGCGCAGAAAAAUGUUUAUUACGUAAUUAACACAAGGUACAAGCGGAAUUACAUUAUAUACUGUUUGGAAAAAAUGUAUGAAAAAUUCACACGAUAUUUAAAUAGUACGAAUAAUCGUUAAUUAAUCUUGCCUUUGGUUAGAUAGAAGGAUAAUUUUCUUUUUUACCUUACUCUCUCCCAUUUAAAAGUAAUUGUAGAAAAGUUCAAAGAGUGAAAAUUUUAUCAACGGGUGUGCAAGUCGAUCUAAAUUAUUUUCUAUAUAGGUUCUAAAAGACAGACAGGACGUGUCCAGCUUUCUCUGCGUCGAACCACAGUUGCGUUCUGGUGAAAGAAAGAAGUUUUUUUUUUUUUUUUUAAUUUAAUACGACGCAACGAUCGAAACGUGUUCUUUCGCUACAAUCAGGUUGUAAAACGAUCAGGUUUACAGCAUUAUGGAAAGAGGAUAUGUUACAAAGAAUUCGAGAAUGUGUAAAAUAAAAUUUGCAUAUCCCAAUUAUAUAUGAAUCGUAUAUAUUCGACGUCACCUAUCAAUAUUCGACUAACGUAACUAUUGUCCCUCGAAUGUAAAUUCCGUGUUUAAUAUUCCGAGGAGAGACCGCCAUUUUCAGGUCGAAAUCUUGUCUACGAAUGAAAUCAAUCGUGAAAACGCGAAACAAAAAAAAAAAAUUUUUGAAUUUGACAAUUUAACAAAAGGAAGAAUUUAUAUUAGGAAGGCAACGAGAUUUCCACUUUACCCAUCAUAUUUGUGGAUGUGGACAAAAUUCGACGAUUUUCUGUCCAUUGUUCGAUACGUACAAUAACCUGUUCCAAAUAGGUAGGACGAUUAUUAGAUUUAUCGCAGGUGGCAAAUUAAGCGUAAGACUCGAUCGAGGUGUCGUUGAAGUCGCGUUCUGUUACAUAACGCGAGAGAAACGCGUUUCCAACCAGGGACAAUGAUCGCAGAUGUUUCUUCCUUGCAACAUCGUCCUUCCCUGAAACGCGAAUCUAAGGGUACAUUUUUUGAUCUACAUCUGCGCUCAGUGGGGCCCUGGAAACCUUGAACUUCCUGAGGCAGGGGGUCCCUGAGAAAAUUCGUGUGUUCGUCCAGGUGUUGCGAGAGUCUAACACCUGGAGAUUCUCGAGUUUACCGUUAUAUUUGUGCCCCUUUAUUGUACAACGUAAAUUGCCACCACCUAGAAACGCUAUCUAACAACAGCAUCGAUGAAACGAAUCUCCAACCUGACCAACCUUACCAACGAUCCCGUCACGAGUUUCGUCGCGAGGCCAGCAUCCCAUCCAUCGAUCCCUGAACAACAAACGAAUAAAAAGAAAGAAAAGAAUCAUAACUCUGCUCCAACUCGACAUUCCGUUGCCUCGUUAAACUCGAUUUUCCGGAUCGUUUUAUUAUCGCCACUCGAUCGCCAGCCUACCAGGAAACGGGUACUUGUUUCGGGGUAUUACCUUGGAGCAUUGGAGAAAAUCCUCGGUGUUUACCUCGGCCAGGUGUCCCGCGAAUUAUGUGCCUGGUUUACUCGGCGCACCGGGGCCUCGACGGGGCCGCGGCUUUCCUAUUUGUAAUUAAUGAAAUGCUUUAAAAGACACCUGUGCGACCAUCUCUGCCGCACAGGUGGCAGGCUGGUUAUACGGCGAUAAAGGCUGGGCUUGUACAGGUGCGCGGCGCAGGUACUCACAGCCACUCUGAAUCGGGAACUGGCACCGGUGUGCGGUGAAACCCCGUCACAAGCGACAACGAUGACCGUUUUGGUGAUUACACGCCGUCCACAGGCCGAGACUUAUCGCUCGUUUAAAGAUUAUACGGGCUCCCCUCGUGUCAGGCCAGCUGACAAAAGACAGAAUUCGCCGUGACGUUCUGAUUGAACAACAGUUGGCGAAAUUGCAAACAAUCCAUCGAUCUGAAUUCUCUCAACACCGAAAAUUAUAUAUAUAUAUAUUACGAUGCGAUUUUGUGGAUUAUUUUUUUUUUUUUCGAGAAAUUUAUAUACAUGAGUUUAUCCGUAGAGCGAAGAUCGUGAAUAGGAUAACGUUCGAAAGGUUAAAAGGUAAAAGUGUCGGGCAAGUGAGAUAUAUAUAUAUAUAUUUAUCACAUGUAAUUACAAGGCUGUUAAUUUUAUUAUCCAGCCGGGCGAUUUGUUUUUAGCGGGGAUUAUUAUUGUUAACGUGGCUGUUCCCCAGCUGUUUAUCGUGUUAACAAAUAUUUGUCCUUUCGUAACGCGUGAUGAGUAUUCGGCACCGAGCUCGCAAACGUAAGAUAACAGAGGGCUUGGAGGGCAAUAUAAUAAAUAAUGGUGCAAGGGAUAAUUAGGCAGGAUAGUUUGCUCAAAUGGUUUAAUGCAUCUGCGAGACAUACCUCUCGUGUUGGAACUCUGAAUAUGCGGCAUAAGUUAAAUCCCUUAGGGAGAUAUUACCGGCAUAAAUACUUCUGUAAGCAUUUCUUUCUUCCAUCCUGGCCCUUUCACCCUCCCCCCUCUUUUCUUCGGAGAAAGAAAUUUCUCGAGAAGAGACUUUUCCCUUUUGUGCACCAAUCCGGAAAAUACAAUAUCCUUUGAUACCGUCAAAACGCCAUAUGGGCCGUUUAUAGGCGAGCGUGUAGGCAUACCUUGUGAAAAAUCUGGUGUGCAGAUUUUUAUUAUCUUUUGGGGAAAACCCAAGCGUGAACGUAAGUAAUUCCAAAUGUCGCACAUUAGCAUCCGUUCCAAAAUUUUGGAAACAAAAUGUUGGCAGAUGUGAGAACGAGCACCGAACAUGUGUCAAACAUGCUUUGUUAUUAACCGAGAGCUAAGCCAUAGCUGGAAGACAUAUGUUUUGACAUUUGUCUCGAGGAUAUUAAAUUAUCGGGAAGCGAAUAAUAUAAAAUCGAAUAUUUCGUUAGUUUCCUCUAACGAGGAAGCGAUGGAUUUCGAAACGAAUUUGAUUAACAUUGCUUUCCACGUCCCCCCUCUAAAGGAUAAGGAAUAAAGAUUAGAAAUUUCGUAUUAGAGAAGUUAGACGAUAUUACGAGCGUUUAUUACACGCUGAUUCACCAGAUUAUCCGGGUGAAUGAUUUAUGAGAGGACCGGUAAUUUCGUCCUAAACUUACUUACGGUUCCUUGUCAACGCAACGAGAUCCGUGACCGAAUCAGGUAGCUGAAAAAUUCCAAGUGUCGGUAUGCAGCUGCAGCUUUUCAAAUAUUAUCCUCGGUAUAAUGUAUAACGGGAGAAUAGUUUAUUUCUCCAUCACAAUGUCAUUAUACAUUUGACUGGUAACGGAUCGAUGGAUCUUUUCGCCGUGCGAUGAAUGCCCGCAUAGUUUUCCGUAAGUUCUCAGCAAAAUUUCAAAUGUUUCCAAAUCUGUCCUAUUGAAAAAUUUGAAAUAAACGAGCGCUUGUUGAAAAAUUCCUUGUUAAAUGAUAUCUCCGCGACGCCAUUUUUUUUCGCCCGACCUCCUCGAAGGACGACCCGUUUCACCGACCGAAAUGAGCAACCGGCUGUAAAAGUGGACAUUCACGUCCUCCUCGCGUGUCGUCUUCGAGACAAUCCGCGUUUCACCGAGCAGCGUUUGACACCCGGGGAGGAAAAUUCGCCGAGGAGUGGAAAAAGAAAACGAUCGCUUAAGCAGGUCGAGAGUGUAUUAAAAAAAGAAAAAAAAAAGACUCGACAGACUCGGACACCUGCCCGGUUUCCUGUGUGCCAGAAACCGUGGAAAAAGGGGGGAGGGGAGACGAAACUCGCGUUCCGUGAUUUUCAUCGCAGUGUCCGCUUUUUGCUUGUUUUGCUUGUCCGUCUCUCGAAGGACAUCCUGUUUUCACGUUUCGAGGCGAGAGAAGUAGUUGCCCCAGAAGGAGGAAUUAUUUUUAUUAUCGAGGAUGCCGGGGUUUAAAAUUUUCUCAACUCGAAACGUGAAAGUGGAGUUUAAAAUGUUAUAACAUACGUACAUACAUAUUUUUGUAACGAUGUUUGGGAUUUUUCGUUUCGCUUAUUGUUCGAUGGAAAUUUGAUGGAAAUAGGAGGAAUUUCGAAUUGGAGAAAUUCUCUUUUCCUCGACUCGCUUCGCAGGUCGUGACGAGACGAGACACGUUUAUCUCGCCACAUGGCCAUCCAGCAUCUUCAAGGUCCUGUAUUUAUGAACCCUUCAUCGUCGUCGGCACACGCGAACCGAAACAACGUCAUUAAUCUAUUCGAUUUAGCCGCAGUUUUAACCGAGACUCUACCACCUGUUGGAAGUGUUAUUACUUGCUACAGACCAUAACCUCGCUACCUGUUGAUAACGACAUGGCAUAACGAAUUAUUCCUUUGCUCUAAUAUCCGAUCCGACUAGCUACGCACGAUGAGUGUACGUUAUCGAGUUGAUCGAGCCAUGUAUCGAGAGAAAAAUACCGUUAACGGCACGCUCGGGUGUUAUUUUGUUGUUUAAAAGUAAUUAAAGAGACCAGAGAUUUAUAAGAUGAAUGAACGUGCUCUUCGUGAAACGAGAUUAACUCAAAAUUAAAGAGAGGAAAAAAAAAAGGAUCGAAUCGCUAUUAUUAUUUUAUCAUUUAACAUUAAAAGAAUAAGAAUAAGAAGAUGCACACUUUUCCGUUCGACAAUUAUUCGAGAUUUAAUAGAGAGGGAUAACGAAAUUUAAAUUUAAAUCGAAUAUGCAUUCGGUCAAUCGAUAAUCCAAUAAUCCAUGCGUCCAUUUCCACGGUAUACGUAGCCAGCCAAAAACCGUCACUCUGCCAAACUUAUCGUCCUUCCUCCCUCUCCGAAAAACGGGGCACCGCGCCAACUUUCCCCCAUAAAUCCAUCAAUCCCUCGAAUCCACCUGAAACCAUUACCAGCCCAACACCGCGUCCUAAACUCGGUGCCCAAGCACGUUGCCAACAACUACCGAGAUGUUGUUCCUCGUAACCCAGCCAGCUGCCUCUGUUUCUCCGCAACGGAGCCGAAUUUUCAUUUAAAAAGAGAAAAAGAAAGAAAGAAGAAGAAAGAAAGAAAGAAAAAGAAGGAAAAAGCAAAAACCUCCUCUUUUGGUAGGCGUGAGCGGUUUCGUUUCGCAGCCGUGCGCUACGCUACUACUACCUGUUGUACGAGCGCGCAGCAACGAGAGAGGGCAGAGAGAAAGAGAAAUAGAGAGGAAGAGAGAGAGAGAAGGUGCCGCGGGGGCCCCUUCUUCCCUCGGCUGGAGAGCAGCCGGCGGGGGGCAGAGUCGGAGGGGGCCGCGAUCUCUGGGUCCUCCUGCGGGGGCAGGGGGAGUGGGGCCGAAGAAGGGUCCACGGCGAGAUGGAGGGGACCAUGGCGACAGACUGGCGGCCGCGCACCUGCACUCGCUCGCCGAGUGAGCCGACAGUCAGGGCCGCACCUACCGGCUAAGACCCAGCUCCCCUUCCGCCAUCGGCCUCGGGACACAAAUCGGCCCAGUGCAUUCCCCGUGUCCUUAUCUCCCACCGAGAGCCGCCACCGAAAAGGUCAUGCGUCCGAUUCCACCGGAUUAUAUUACCUUUUUCGCCAUUCCUUUGCUUUCUUUUCUUUUCUUUUUCUUUUUCUUUCGUUCGCACAGCUUUCUCCCGAUUAGAUCGCUCGUUGUUCGGCGAAACGAAGGACGAUCCGAAACGAACGAAGUCUCUGCUUUUGCCGCUGUGAUAGAGUAAUUUUGAGAGAAGACCGGCCAAGAUCACUUUAGAGAAGCUGGUGUGUAGACCCGGUUUCGGAGAGAGAUGUAAUCGUAAGAUAUAAAAGUAUAAUAAUUUUUCUCGUUCUUCUUGCAAGUUAUUAUUAUACCAGGAUAUAACGUUUUGAAAAAAGUAAUUAUAUUUUCGUUCACCUUAUAGAUUUUAUAGUUGUUUAGAUUCUUUUUAUUUUAUUUUUUUCUUUUUUCUCUCUCUAAUGAAUAUGAUGACUAUAAAGAUUAGUACAAUUUGUGCGUAUGUUAUGUUUUAAGCUGAUCGACUAUGCGGUUUCCUUAUAAAUCGAGUAAUCAAGUUAUAUUUUAUAAUUGCAAGGUGAUAAAUAAAUUGCAAUAAUUUUCAAAACUACCGGUUCUUUACCGGAUACCUCGAACGAUAUGAUAAUAUGCUUGUUAUGUAAAUAAGGUGAAUUCGAUUACAAAUGAGCAUUCGAUAAAAAAAAGGUGGGGGGGAAUUAGAGGUAGAAAGUUAGAUUUAUUCAUCUGAAUAUAUAAUCGCGAUUACGUUAGUCCAAAAUUAAAUCGAAUUACGAAAUGUACGUUCAACGUUCUUGUUAAGAUUCGAAGUAAACUCUUUCCGGAUGUAAGUAAAGACGUAAGUUAUUUCAGUUCUGAUCAAUUUUUAAUACGAUUUAAUAGCGACAAGAGAGAGAUUGGUAUUUAAAACGUCAUUGAAUGCAAUCGAGCAUCGAUAGCAGGUUUAAAAAAAACGCCAUUGUCGAACGAGUUGUUUUCAGCCCAUUAUUUAUUCCACAUGUUCGAGUCGCGCUAUCUUAAAAACAUCCGGUGUUAUUCCAACUCUAAUAAUCGUUCGAUGCUAUCAUUUUCUAAUCGAAUAAGUAAUAAAGUAUUCCACGCGACAGAAAAAUGAAUUUCAUUCCUCAUUUGCGCAAUCGACUCGAGAAAAACUAAUUUCUUAAUUACUUCUGCUCACAGUUCCAGAGAAAUGUUUUAUUAAAAAAAAAAAAGAAAGGAGAAAUAAGAAAAAUGAAUCGAAACCGGAAGAUUUAUUUUCUUGAUGAUUCGAGUUGUUAAUAGAUGCUAUCGCAACAUGUCUGUGCUAUUCCUAGCACAGGUUAUGGAUAUUAGAUUUCAUGUAUUUCAGAUCGAUCUUUAGACGUUCGAUCGAUAAAUAACACCUUGCAAGGUAUUCAUAUUCUUCACUUUUUGCCUUUUUUUUUAUCUAUGUUUCCUUGAAUUUAUUCAUCGUCGUUUAAAAAUAUCUUUUUCCUUUAGCAUUCGUGCAAAGAUUUUUACAUUCAUAAAAGUUUUCUUCACUACCGGUAUUCAUUUUUAAAAUUCUUUUGCCAUUCGAGGAGAAAAGAAAUGAAAAGAAUCCUCUUCAGCAACUUUAUGAGCCGGAACACCUGGAACUUGGAACCUUCUUCGUUUGAUUUUUUUCUUUUUCUUUCAUCCACGAAAGUCUCCUCAAUUUCUAGCAGCUUCUUCUGGUGAAGAAACUCUUUUCUCGGAUGUUUAGAGCGGAACGGUGAGGACAGCCGGACGAGAAAGUGCCGUUAAAGUAAUUACUAAUCACGGAUUAUGUUUCCUAUUUCCGUUCCUCGUUUCAUAACUGACGUAUUAUUACAUUCCAGGAUAAAUUUCAUACGUUUAGCGAAUUUUUAAAUUUUUAAAUUUUAAAAUUAAAAAUUAAAAAUUUUUUAUUCAAUGCAACGUUGAAAUUUUACUUCGAUGAUGGAAUUGUAUUACGAUGAAUAUAAAUUGGAGCAAAGAUGUUCGAAACGUGAAUUUAUUCGAAACGCAUCCGUGUAGAUAGCUAGCACGAUCGUUUUCAAUCAGACAGCAAUCGUAAAUUACGAUACUUAAUUAACGUAAUCGGAGUACAACUUUACGAAGUUGUUCGAAACGCCACGUACACGGAGCCUACGCGUGUGUAGGUAGGCCGUGCUGAUAACGCUUAUCUAGCGCGCGCCAACCCGUGGCUGAGUUUGCAUAUCAAUGGGAGUUCUUAAGAAUAGACACUCGCGUGUCGCGUUCAACCGGCACUCACGCGCGUUAAUUCGCGCGAUUACAAGCUGUUGUUGACUCUCGGUCUCGCGUUUCUUUUGCUCCGAUUGCACGAGCGCCAUUCGUAGUAGAAAGGAGCUGAGCUACGAUGAAAAAUCGGUGGAAAUUCAUUCAUCGUUCUCCAGCACGUAAAUUAAACUGUCUGAUCAAACGGAGAGAAAUUUUUAAUAAUUUCGAAUAACAUUUCUCUAAAAAUCUUGCACACUCACUCUGGAUAGCCUACGUUUUCAAUAUUCGAAUUUCACGAGCGCGUAGCAAACGAACUUCCACGUCAAAAAUAGAGAACGAUUUUCUCUCGUUAUCGUCCGGAGGAAAAGGAAACCUUACUAGGCAAGAGCGUGGGAUUAUUGUUCAACGUACGUAUAUGGCCUCGCGGUUAUUCUUAAUAUGACACGUUGAGCACGAGAGAGAAAGAAAGAAAAACGGCAAGCGUUCCCGCUAAUAAACAAUAAUGACACGUUGAACCAGUUCGUAGCGAGCAUCAGAGCUCGCGUGAUAAUUUGCAUUUGGCCGUAAUUGCGAUUCAACGGCGAGCACGCCAACGUUCUCAUCGAGUCAAGCUUCUGCCACUGAUCGGAACUCAUUUUUCGUUCUUACGAAUCUUUCCGUUUUCAACGCUACAAACGAUACAUUUUCAUGCAAACUAUAUUUGCAGCACGGAUUCCUGAAAAACCCAUUUGUCCUUAUACUUUCCCAAUCGGUUUACAGGAAACUUCUUGAUCGAUACGAAACGGAAUGUAAAUUCCUUAAUGAAAAUUUAUUACGAAAAUUACUUGUAGUUUUCAAUUAUCAGUAUUUCCUUCUAUAGUAGCCAAACAACUUAAAAUCUAUUUUCCUUCUCAUACGUAUUUUAAUAGAAUAAAUGUAAAGUAAAUAACAGUGUGAAAUCCAGUAACAAUAUAUUAAAAUAUACAAAUAAUUUUUCUAUGUAAAUAGUCAAAAAUAGGUUUUCGAGGAAUAUCAAUUGUAGAAGUUAGACCGUAAUGGAAAAUCAAUGUAGAGUUUCUAGAAUGCAACGAAAUUCAGACAUGCACACAUACGCGAUAACAUAUUCGUUCUAGAAUACCUCGAAACGAAAGAGGAAACAAAAUGCACCGGUUGCCGGUCGUAAAAGAUCGCUCGUGAAUAUGCAACGAAGCGAAUGCCCCGAGAAGCGAAAUGAGUAAUAUAGGAAAGGUAUAAUGAGUGGCUGAUUAUGAUGUAAGCGGUUUAUCCGAGCGUAAUGAUUCGGGGAGCAGAUUGCAGACCGACGAAUACGCCUUAACUUUCUACCUUUACACCCAUUGUCCGCAGCCAUUGUCGGCCAAUGCGACACGAUUAUUCACCGCUCUCCUCGAUGUCUGACCUUUUCCACGUGAUAUUUAUAAGAUUUGCUACACGACGACCGUGACUUUAGGUGAGGUCGUUAUGCAAAUUAUGCGACCUUACAUUUAUUAUACCUGUUAAGUACCUACGUCGAAUCGGUGUUUCGGCAGUGUAUAACGCCAUUCGAGAAACAGAAGAGCGGAAUGGAUUAGCAUGUAAAAUAGGUUUCCAGGUUAAAAAAGUGCUCGAUCCUUUCAGAUUAGUCAAAGAUACUAUUCGAGAAUUGAUUGAUUUUUGCUCUCGAAAAGUUUGUGUAACACAUUUUGGAAGAGAAUUGUGAUUGGUUGAGAAUAAAAUGUGACACGUAUCAUCGAAUGAAAAUUAAUCGAGUGAAAUUUUUGUUAGCACGUUGGCAGGAAUGUCUUUACACGAUAGGAAGGAAGUGGUCGUAUUUCUAACUGCGAUAGAAACAAGCAUGGAAUUGUCACGUGUUUAACAAGAACGAUAACAGUGCGGAUAUAAGAUUUGUGGAGCAGUGGCUGGAUUUGCAUAUUGGGUCGACAUGAUAUCUUAAUCGUGGUUUACAAUAAAUGUUUAAUGCAUUUCUGAUCAUUUCUAAGACUUUUUAAAAAUAAGCCUAAGUAAAAUGAACGAGUACGCAUGCACUCGAUAUUAGUUAUCGACACGUGGCUAUUAUCGAGCAAAAAUAAGCGUAAUCACCGAUAAUAAUCAUUAAGACUAUAAAAAUGAAUUAUUGAAUUUUGAUUGUUUACUAUCGAUAAUUAUAUAUUUACUAGUCAGAUGGUUAAUAUGAUUUCAAUGAUGUAUGGUAUGUACACAUCUCGAUAUACAUCUCUAUUGCUUUUAUCUUUCAGUUUCAAGUAGAGAGUAAAAAAUUUCAAGAUUAUGUAUCUAUUGCAUCAUUGUACAUUUAUUAUUAGAAAAUCGUUUAAUUUAGUUUCUGCAAUCAAUUGAACAUUAUCGAAAGUCAUUAAUCUUUUAGUUCUAUUGACGAUUAAAUUACAAAGAAUUGAUCGUAGAACAUUGGAACGUGUCCUUGGUGAACAAAAAAAAAAAAACGACGAUACACAAAGAUUAAUUCUCGAUUUAAUCGAUCAAAAUAAUUUUUCACACUUUCAAUUUUCCAUUGUUUGAACACAAUUACAAUUUAUUGAUUUUUCUCAAUUUCAAAUGUAAAAUCUUCUUACAUUGGAAUAAUUUUCUUUUCACGAUUUCUAGUCAAUUUUACGUCAACUUACGACACGCUUGUUCGCAUAUUUUAUCGCGACGAUAAAAAAAUUCGUGAUUCAGGAACACUUACUUUUCACAAGUUUUGAAAUAUAUAUAUAUAUAUAUAUAUUUAUAUAUAUUCGCAAUUUUAGGUGCUUCUGCACUCGUACGGAGGCGACAUUCCUCGAUUGCGUGGAGUUAAUACGACUCGAGGGAGCGAUCGUUUCGUCUUUCGAACACGUGUGUUCUUAUCAGUGGUCAUUUUUUUUUCUCAGGACACGAUAACAGUACUCGCAAAGCGUAAUUUCCGUUCAUGGCUUUUCGAGGAAACUUCGCUUUGCGAAAUUACAUGAUUCGUAAUCACGCUCUUUGUCAAAUGGAAAUUACAUCUCUUACAUAGACAAGCCGCUUUAGAGGAUUUAACGUUUUAAAUAUUCUCCUAUCUUUAAAUUUUAUGCAACGAUAAAUAAUAACAGUAAAACUUUAAUUCUAAAAUAAAGAUUACGAGUAUAAACUAUAAGAAUAACGAACGAUAGUUAAAGUUCCGCGAACUUUUUAAACGCCUUCUCUCCUUUCAUCGUUUUGCCAAAGGUAUAAAAUAUAUAAGCAGACGCGUUAACAAUAGGACGGAAUGAGUUGAAAUUAAAUAGUUACAUAAUAACAUCGAAAACAUCGUUUUUAAGGUACAAAAAAGGAAGGCCGAGGAACACGGUUUAAUGGCGGUGAGCCGGCGUGAAAGGGGGCGCGCAUUUCUAUGUUUUUGUAGAAACCACAAGUGAAUUCGCGGCAACGAUCCGGCGCACCUGCGUUUCGUUUCGCAUGAUAUCACAGCCAUGCGAUAAAUUUUCAUUGCCACGCGUGUAGGAAUAAACUUUUAUUGACCAUUGAACGGUUUGAAUUUAAACGCGCCGCGUAUACGCGCGCAUAACCGCGCGUAACGACUACACACGUAUACGCAACUAUAUCCCCGGGUUUAAAGGACUAUGAAUGUCUAGCACUAUCGUUUAAGAAAAUAUGUCGUUUAUGUUUCGAACGAUUACACGAGUGGUCUACGCGAGAAAAAAUUUCAGACAAAUUGAAUGUGUGUAAUUUGUAGAGAUGGGAUGCUUGGAAUCCUUGAAAUCCGCCGAAAAAAUCCGUUCUCCAAAAACAUUUUCCUAUUUUUUGCGAUUCGAAACUUUGAGGUUAGGCGAAGAAUAAUUUAUAUAAAGAAAUAUUUAUCUCGAAAAAUACUUUGAAACAAGAAUACCGCAUGAUGUUCAUCAAAACGAUGUCAAGAAUAUAUCCUGCGGUAAUCGUAAGUCACUUUAUUCAAAUGAGUCGAAACUAGUAUUUAUUGAACGUGCUAUAUAAAGUGCACUUAAAAAAAACAUAUGUGUCAAACCAUUUGAAUUUCUAACACGAGAAGGUGUGACCAUCGUUAAUGCGAUAAUAAUUAUGACGUGCAAAGUUGAAUCCAUGAAUCAAUGGUACUAAUGCGCAAGUACUUAUCAAAGCGAAAUUAAAUGUUGAGAAUGUACUAUGUAACUUGGGUUAUUUUUAUAAAUAAUUUUAUAUUCAAUUUUUUAAACGCAUUGUAGGAAUAAAAUAAAUAAGCUAUUUAAUA